UUGGGAAACUUCGGAACAUUCUUUGAGUAUCAACAACUUCAGAAGUCGGAGAUAGAAUAAAAGCCACGACGUUGUACAUAAGUAAAAUCGAAAUUCGUUGCAUCGUAUUAGAAGGAAAAGACUACCAAAAACAUAUGAUAGAUAUGCCUAUACGAAUGGAAGCUCUUUUAGUCUAGUGGUUUGACUAAUGAUUCAUUAAUACUUCUACAUCAGAAGGUCGGCAUGGCGUAAGGAGUACCGUCAGACAUGGAUUUCAUAGGACGGCUGAAGAUGAUGUAGUCAGACGUGAAUCCACGUAGGGCAGGUAGAAUUGUUGGAUGUAGAAUCGUCUUGUAAUAUUUCUCAUAAUUUAUAAUGGCAUAAUUAACCAUCAAUAAAAAAAAAUAUGUCUAUACGAACGAGAUCUUUUUUGUUUAUAAAAAUUGAAAAUAUAUGAACGUGUAGGUGUGUAACAAAAGGUAUUAUCAUAGCACUUAGAGAUUUUG
RNAcentral lists this long non-coding RNA (485 nucleotides) under Brassica napus (rape). RNAcentral describes it as "long non-coding RNA (BNAP_LNC013962)". Lineage: Eukaryota; Viridiplantae; Streptophyta; Magnoliopsida; Brassicales; Brassicaceae. The record is from RNAcentral.